Molecule: ribosomal RNA, 510 nt
Filed under: uncultured bacterium
Lineage: Bacteria
Description: bacterial SSU rRNA
Rfam family: Bacterial small subunit ribosomal RNA
Source: RNAcentral
GAUCCUGGCUCAGGAUGAACGCUAGCGGCAGGCUUAACACAUGCAAGUCGAGGGGCAGCGGGAUGUAGCAAUACAUUGCCGGCGACCGGCGGAUGGGUGCGUAACGCGUAUGCAACCUACCUUAUACAGGGGAAUAACCUUUCGAAAGGGAGACUAACACCCCAUAGUAUUGAUUUAAGGCAUCUUAGAUUAAUUAAUAUUUAUAGGUAUAAGAUGGGCAUGCGUAUGAUUAGCUAGUUGGUAAGGUAACGGCUUACCAAGGCGACGAUCAUUAGGGGUUCUGAGAGGAAGGUCCCCCACACUGGUACUGAGGCACGGACCAGACUCCUACGGGAGGCAGCAGUGAGGAAUAUUGGUCAAUGGGCGCAAGCCUGAACCAGCCAUGCCGCGUGCAAGGAAGACGGCCUUAUGGGUUGUAAACUGCUUUUACAUAAGACUAACCGUAUAUUUGCGAAUAUACCUGAAUGUAUUAUGAGAAUAAGGAUCGGCUAACUCCGUGCCAGCCGCCGC